ACAUGCAUUUCCUCCUCUUCUUUUUAAAUGCAAAAAGAGCAUGACAAUGGGGAGACCAGUUAGAAUGGACACAGACCUGCAAAUAAACACAACACAAAAUCACUAUUUCGCUUUCUUUCUAUUUGGUCGAACUGACUGUUGUAAGUCUAUUUGUGAACACACUUGGGCUGAGUGCACAAGAAAACAUAAGUGAAACUUUUGGCAUGACACUAGGAGAAGAUAAUUAACAUGACACAAAGUUAUACUAAACUAGCAACAAUUAAUAUGGAUCAGAGGGAGUACAUUAGAUAUAGUGUUUUCCUUUCUUCCAACAUUUUCAUUUUGAGUUUGAAAACUAAAUGAUUUCAAUUCGCCUCAAGAGCCUGAUUUCAAAAAAUAAUUGCGAUUUUGCACUAGAAUUUUAACGUCAGGUGAAAUAAUACAAUGACACUUUGAAUUGUUGUAAUUUGUUUUACCUUCAAGCUGAUGCAUUACAACAUUUGCAAACUCAUUCUCCAAGCCCAUUGAUCCAAGAGCAAGCUCCUGCGUUGCUUUCAUUGUAGUGGUCAGCAUUCAAAAUCAAGUCGCUGGUGAAGUUACAUUCUGAUCCUCUCUUUAUUAGUUGGGUUGUAGAGAUGGUUUACAGGGAUUCAGCGUUGCAUGAAAUGCAAAUAGAGGACAUGGAGACCAAUACAAACAUGAAAUGCAGAUAGAGGACAUGGAGACCAAAAUGAAAUCAAGCAUUCUAGUGAUAGUUCAGGCACAGACUGAACCAUUUAUCGUAAUAACAAUAAAAAAAGUAGAUACGAUAUAAUAUAGUUCAUGCACGGACUAAACCAUUCAUCAUAACAACAAUGAAAGUAAGACUAAUCACUCUUUAAUGCAGAUUCAAAUCAUACUCACCCGCAGCCCAGCCACUGUUGUGCCUAAAUGGUUGUAGAAGAGGAUGUAGAGAUACCAGCUGAUACUCUUGUCGACGCUGUCGAUCUUCUCAAGCAUAUAAUCUGGACCGCCACAGAGUGAAUUAGUUAGACAACAACAUGGACUCAUCAUCACCAUACAUAAACAAUAGGGCAUCGCUUCUCUUCUGGCAAACUAGGACUAACUAGAGAGAGAAAGAGAGAGCUUCCUGAUAUCGUUGCCACCAUAGAUGGCUAAUAGAGAUUGUGGCACCAGCCACCAUGCUCCUAGUCGCCAGAAGAUAAGGGAGCAGAGGCCGCACACCUCAGUCCGAACCACCAGGACCGAAGGAACCCUGUACUGCUCAGAUCUGCUACCAUGGGAGUGGGGAAGAGGAAGCUGUGUAUGGGUUGGGGCGGUGGCACCAUAGAAGGGAGGUGAGAGGUGACCUCACUGGGCGCUUGGGCACGAACAAAAAGUGCCGCCGUCGGCAGCUGGGUGAGGGCAUCGGUGUCACAGGACCUCCUCCGCAUGGGAAAUCAUCAGCGAUGUGGGGAUGGUAAUGGAGCCUCCGCAUGGUAAAUCAGCAGCGAUGUGGGGAUGGUAAUGGAGUGGUGGAAGGAAGAGAUGGACAGAGGGGUGAAAGCGUCG
This 1530-nucleotide ribosomal RNA is filed under the name Triticum aestivum (bread wheat). RNAcentral's name for it is "partial small subunit ribosomal RNA". The record is from RNAcentral. Lineage: Eukaryota; Viridiplantae; Streptophyta; Magnoliopsida; Poales; Poaceae.